UGGUUCUGGCAUCGAUGAAGAACGCAGCGAAAUGCGAUAAGUAAUGCGAAUUGCAGAAUUCAGUGAGUCAUCGAAUCUUUGAACGCAUAUUGCGCCCUUUGGUAUCCCGAAGGGCAAGACAGUGGAUAGGAUCUGGUAGCCCUUGAUAUAACAAGCUGUUUAUAGCACAUAUCUAUAGGCCAGCAGCCCUAUCUUUCACCCCCCAAUUUUCUGAAGUUGACCUCGGAUCAGGUAGGAAUACCCGCUGA
RNAcentral lists this unclassified non-coding RNA (248 nucleotides) under uncultured fungus. RNAcentral's name for it is "partial contains 5.8S ribosomal RNA and internal transcribed spacer 2". The stretch from base 1 to 134 matches the Rfam family "5.8S ribosomal RNA", at positions 22 to 154 of the family's 154-position model. From Rfam's summary of the family: 5.8S ribosomal RNA (5.8S rRNA) is a component of the large subunit of the eukaryotic ribosome. It is transcribed by RNA polymerase I as part of the 45S precursor that also contains 18S and 28S rRNA. Lineage: Eukaryota; Fungi. The record is from RNAcentral.